GAGCAGGUGAGUUGAUCACCCCGGACGAGGCGCGUCGUACCCGGUAUGACAAGACGGCGCAGU
This 63-nucleotide non-coding RNA is filed under the name Saccharothrix sp. ST-888. Lineage: Bacteria; Bacillati; Actinomycetota; Actinomycetes; Pseudonocardiales; Pseudonocardiaceae. RNAcentral also lists the same sequence under 1 other name. The record is from RNAcentral.